This 251-nucleotide ribosomal RNA is filed under the name uncultured prokaryote. RNAcentral's name for it is "partial 16S rRNA". It matches the Rfam family "Bacterial small subunit ribosomal RNA", at positions 525 to 775 of the family's 1533-position model. The record is from RNAcentral.
ACGGAGGAUGCAAGCGUUAUUCGGAGUUACUGGGCGUAAAGGGCCUGUAGGCGGAUUAUUAAGUUAGUUGUUAAAUUUCACGGCUCAACUGUGAGAAUGCAGCUAAUACUGAUAAGCUAGAGCAUAGAAGAGAGAGGUGGAAUUCCCGGAGUAGCGGUAAAAUGCGUAGAUCUGGGGAGGAACACCAGUUGCGAAGGCAGCUUCUUGGUCUAUUGCUGACGCUAAAGUGCGAAAGCGUGGGGAUCAAACAG